Molecule: ribosomal RNA, 447 nt
Filed under: uncultured bacterium
Lineage: Bacteria
Description: bacterial SSU rRNA
Rfam family: Bacterial small subunit ribosomal RNA
Source: RNAcentral
UGCCAGACUCCUACGGGAGGCAGCAGUGGGGGAUAUUGCACAAUGGGGGAAACCCUGAUGCAGCGACGCCGCGUGGGUGAAGAAGCGCCUCGGCGCGUAAAGCCCUGUCAGCAGGGAAGAAAAUGACGGUACCUGAAGAAGAAGCCCCGGCUAACUACGUGCCAGCAGCCGCGGUAAUACGUAGGGGGCAAGCGUUAUCCGGAUUUAUUGGGUUUAAAGGGUGCGUAGGCGGGCUGUUAAGUCAGCGGUCAAAUGUCGGGGCUCAACCCCGGCCUGCCGUUGAAACUGGCGGCCUCGAGUGGGCGAGAAGUAUGCGGAAUGCGUGGUGUAGCGGUGAAAUGCAUAGAUAUCACGCAGAACUCCGAUUGCGAAGGCAGCAUACCGGCGCCCUACUGACGCUGAGGCACGAAAGCGUGGGUAUCGAACAGGAUUAGAUACCCUAGUAGU